Apis cerana (Asiatic honeybee) is the source of this 5933-nucleotide long non-coding RNA. RefSeq lists it as uncharacterized. NCBI's taxonomy places the organism in Eukaryota, Metazoa, Arthropoda, Insecta, Hymenoptera, Apidae. The record is from RefSeq and is a predicted model, not a curated record.
UCCUUACCAACCGUGUCGUAUUAACGUAAAAACGUGCGAUUUUAUUUGUGCUUCUUAUAUGAACGUGAAUUUCUAAGAACGUUUAUCUCUUCUCUAAAGUAAAAAUUGAAAAUGAGAUAAAAGUUUAUUUGCAUCGUGAAGUAAAUAAGUUAUUUGGUUAGUAAGUAAUUCGUUGCAUCCAAGGCAAGAUCGAUUUUCAUCUUUAUUCCACGUUUCAUGUUUUAUCGUAUGAACUCUACUCGAGUAUUUAAAUCAUCAUCACCAUUAUAUUUUCAAUCUCUGUUCUCAAGAAAGAUGAAAAUGAAUCGAGUAAUAAUUCUCGUUGCUGAUGAUACGCGUUAUUUGAAAUCUUUGCGCAAAGUACAUUGAACACGAUGCGCAUUUCAAACAAAGACGAGUGUCAUCCUUGUUCCAACAUUGCACAUAAAAUUUCCUCGAUGCGACACGUGCUGCGUUUUUCUCGGCUUACGUUAAACAUUGUGUCGAACAUGUGUGUCAGGAGUUAAGGGACGAAAAAAAGAAACGAAAACGGCAAAAAAGUUGAAUUUCAUUUUAGGAUUAAUGACUUCGUUUAAACAAGAAAAACAUAAAUGGAAAAACAUAAAAAAUCAUCAUCGAGCAGCGAAGGAAGCUUAAUUUUAUCGUGAUGUAUAAUAUAAUGUUUUAAAAUUUUUGUCGAUAUUAUAAAAUUUUGCGUGCCAUUUUUUUUCUAAUUUGAAUGUUUCAAAAAAUUUGAUUUUAUAAUUCAAGAAGAAAUGGCAUACGAAAUUUUUUUUUUUAGAAUUUUAAGAUUGAAAACUUUCAAGGUUUCAAAUUAAAAUUCUCAGUCAAUUUCGUGAUUUUGUAUCAAGAAAAUAUGAUCCAAGAAAAUACGACACAUGAAAUUAUUUUGAUAUUUUUAAGAACAAAAAUUUUAAAUCAAAUUUUAUAUAUAUACACUUACAUGUAGAAUAUUUAUCAUUUGUAUACUUACGUCUUACAACUCCUAUUUUUUGCAAUGUUUAAUAAUUUUUUAAUAAUUUUAAAUUUUACUACUCAUCAAAAUGAAACAAGAUAUGUUAGCUGAUAAAGUUUAUUCUAAGUAAUUGAAAGUAUCGAAAGUAGCUAAAAACAUAAUAUAGAAGAUAUAAUUUUAACCAGUGUACAUAUACAGGAUGUAAGAAUAUAGAUUUUUAAUUUUAACAUACUUUUUAAAAUCACGAAAAUCUUUAAUAAAACGAUUGAAAAAUUAUAUAUAAAAUUUACAUAACUUGAAUCAUUAGCUAAAAUUCAAAGAUUUAUUUUAACUUAAUUUUAAAUUGAAAAUACAAUGUCAACUUAUUAUAAUUAACAUAUGUAAUGUAUAAUUAAUCAUUUAUCUUACUAUAAAUAUCUUUCCUUAAUUAGACUGUAACAAACAUGCUCCGAGCAAAGUACUUUUUAUGUUCAUCAAUAAUCGUGACAGUGUUCCAAAACAACGUAACUGAAAAUAGCAAGAGGCUAUUCGGUUCAUUGGAUCAAAGUGUAGUACAAAAUUAUCGUACUAAUUUCAGUCCAUCUAAUCAACAUUAUAAUUUAAUCAGGUUUUAUUUUUAAAGAAAUAUUUCUUCAUAUUCCAAUUUCAAUGUAAUUUCGAAAUUUUAAUAAUUAUGCAAUUACAGGAACGUGAUGAGCAUUAAAUCUAAAUUAAAAAAUAAAUAAAAUUCGACAAAUUUUAACCUCAUAGUUCGUAAAUUUGUCUCGUUGAAUUUUGAGUAAUUUUACACAUUUUUAAAAUCGACCAUAAAAUCGUACGCGAUAAUUUAAUAAUAUAACGCUUUCCUUUUCCUAAAGGAAAAAAAGUUACGUUCUCCGUGUUAUAAAAGACAUUACCCAGACCGAAACCAUCGUUUACCUAAUUGUAAACGGAAACACAUUUCUCCCGGUCGUACAAAUGCACUUGUUGUUGUGUAAAAGCUUUAUUUAUAGCAUUAUUCCGACUACGAGACAUAAUUCGAUUUCACAUUAUAUAAUUACAUCUCGGAAUUACGCAAAUCGAUCGCAUCGCGGCCGUGUAUGUCAUUCCUCUACCGUUUUCCGGAAUUACACGGAGUAAAAAGUAACACAUGCAUCGAUCAUCAACAUGGUUGUAUCGUAUACGCAAUUAUGGCGGAAUUGCAUAAUCGUCGCUAAUGAUAAAUUUCAUUUAUACGAAGGAUGAGACUCGACAAUAAUGAAGAACACGCGAUACUAACUGCAUCGCACUUUAUUUCUCUAUGUCUAAGUUUAACGAUUCGUUUACGAAAUGCUUGUGGUUUUUGACACCACGAUUCUUAUGUUUAUUCUAAGACAAUAUGCAAAUUAAUGAUUUUUUUCACACGUAAAUAAAACGGAUAAAUUGGACACGUACAUGGAGGAAAAAAGAUUCGUUGUCAAUAUUUGCAAUAACUGCACAUAACAUGUUAAAGUACAUAGUUAUCGUACGUUUAGCAUGCGAAUAUAAAUAACAGUGCGAAUAUACAUAUAUGUAAAUAUAUCGGUGCAACGCAUGUGAAACAAUCGCGCGACAAAAUUAUCGGAUAACAAAAAAUAUUCAGGCUUCGAUGAAUAAUAAACGAUGAUAUUUUAUUUACCACAUUUUAUUACACUUUUUUACAUUGUAAUAAAAAUGCCAAACAUAAUUGUCAUUUUAUUUUCUCGUUAUUUGAUAUUCGAAAAUUUUUUCUUUAGUCAAAUUCGUUUCCCAUAUCUAUCUCAAAUUUGAUGAAUCAUUUAUAGAAACAAUACGUUAAAGUUAUAGUUACGUAAGAAUAUGUAUUUAAAUCCCAUUGUAUUAGACGCGGGGCGAUAUUCACGUUAAGGAAAUUUCACGGUUAAUCACGUCACAAGUAAUUUCUCUAAUGAAAGGAACGUCAUUGUCGAGUGAUUAUCGUAUAACCACGUAUCGUUAUCGAUGUAAUAUCCAGCAACGCUUUAUCCGUUAAUGAUAUUACUUCGCUUUGACAUUUCCCGUCAAUUUAUGAACUAUUUACGCGAUGUCCCGUACCGAAAUGUGACGACAAUAUUGAUAUAACACGAUAGAAAAUUUUGAUCGCACUCGAUCGCAGCGCAAUAUCGAAAACUUGGAUUAUCGUCGAAGCGAACAACGAAAGUGUUUUUCAGAAAACUGGCUAAAACUUAUGAAAUAUAUAUUAUAUAAUUUGAAAAAUCAUAUACCUAAUCGACAUUAUCGGUUAAUACGAUUUUCGAUAUAAAUAUAAUAGGAAGUGUUGUGAAAAAAAAUUUCUAGAAUUUAUAACAUUUCGUAAUAUUUCGAAAAAAAAAAAAAAUAAUAAAUAAUUGCGAUAUAAAAGCGAUCAAUUUCGAUUUUGCGUAUUAACAAUUUUUCGUUUCAAGAUUGAAAAAAUCUAUGUAAUUGAUGAGAUGUUAAAAAAAAAAAAUUAGCGAAAAUAUUAUUUUUCAUUCUUCUUAAAUAAACUUGAACUUUACCUUAUGGAGAUGUAUAACAUUGAUUAAACGAACCAAGUGGUAUUAAAAUAAAAAAUUUGUACAAGAACAAACUAUAUAUAUAUCAUAAUUACGUCGACGAAUAACACUAUUUUGCAGUUCGAUAACAUUAUGUAUUUUUUAUCCAAAAAAUCAAUGACAAUGUCCUUGGCUUAAUCGACAGACGAGUGUGGUUCAUAAUAUGUUACACGAUAUUUUUCUCCACACGCUUUACCGUAAAUGAUGUAACACGCAAGUAAAUUAUCUGAAACAAUUUUCUGCAUCGUUUCUUGCACGAGCGUAAUCACGUUGAACAUGUUAUAAGCGAGAACCUCGUGUACCUGCACGUGGUUGACAUUUUCCGGCAUGUGACUCGAUUUCCCUCCUUCUUCUUUAUUUCAUGCACCGCUUGCACAUCGUCGACGAUGCACACCUGUGUAACCAUAUCUACGAGCAAGCAUCUCCUCGUCACCUGUACUUAUACCACUUGUAAAUAAACGAUAAUAUGGUCGCGUAACGAUGCGUCAUUGACGUCGAUUCAUUUCCAAAUCGAAAGUUUAGAAUUUUAUUUUUAAACUUUCAAACUUUCCUUUCCAAAUCUUCAAAUGGAAACUUUGUUCUUUUUUUUUUUUUUUUUUUUUUUUCAAAAUUUUCGAAUAAAAUUUUAUUCCAAAUUACAUUUACGACAAAAUCGGAUAGUUUACGUUAAAAAAGAAAUAAUUGACUCGUAAAAGAGCAAUUUCAAACUUUUGAAUUUCGAAAUUGCAAUACGGUUGAUAUUAAUACGAUCGAAAAAUGAAUCAAAGAAACUGAAAUAUCUUGAAUAUUCUUGACAAUUCUAAAUAAAAAAUCGGAUGAAUCAGAAAAGCAUAAUUAGUAAUAUUAAAUUUUUUGCACCUUGGACGAUAAUAUUUCGAAAUUGACUCGGAGCCAAAGUCGAAAAUAAUUUUGAAUCGAUAUGGAAAUUAAUAGAAAAAAAUUAAAACAGUUACGAUGAAAAAAUUAAUUGCAAUUUUUAGAGAAUACGAUGUUAUAAAAGGAAGAAUUUUUAUAUCGUAAAUUAAUCUAAUUUAUUAAUCCAUCCGAUUUUCAUACUCGUGCUCGCUUCAAAUUAAUACAGUUCACGUGUCGCCAAGUAAAUUACGCAACGAUUAUUUUAUAUCAAAACUGCAUGAUAACUGCAAAAUGUUCCGUGAAUUCCACUAUCUGAACUUGAUUCGCCGCUACGAGACACGUGCGACGAGAUAUUUAUUUCCUUUUUUCCAACCAAUGAAUUAUACUGGCAUUCAUCUUGCGCGCGCAAUAACACGAAGCUGUGAUUUCGUAAGCCGAGAUUUACGAGUUACUCUCCAUUAAUAGCGGCUACAAUUAUACGGAUCCGCCCAUUGGAACAAGAAUAUCCGCGAACUACGCUCGACAAACCGAAUCGUACGUGUCACGUAAUGCGUUUUAAUGCACACCAAGUAAUUUCGAUUGUCCUAUUACCAUCUCGAUAACCGGGCGAUUAACAAAGGAAAAGGAAGUCCGAAAAAGGAGGUCGAAUAAGAUGGAAUCCUCGGCUACGACGAACGGUACGCUUCCUUGUUUGUCUUGGGAAAAUGGAGUGGAGCGGUUGGAGUAAACGGUUUCUGCGUAUAAGUGGGCCUUGAUGGAUAUAAGAACGUUGUAACAACUUUGGCAGUGAGCGUGUUCCGUGUUUGGAUCAUGUCGUCAAAAUCAAAAUCGAUCGAAACGUUCGAAAAGAGGAUACGGGAGCAAUAUUUGUUUCGAAAGAUAUUUAGAUCGAAAUAAUUAAAAAUAAACAUUCGUUAUUUACUAAACGCGCCCAACGAUCGAGUCAAUUUUUCCAUUUUCGUUUCGAUUCGCGUGCUCCUAUAUAAAAAGAUUUGGAUUGGGGAGGGCUGGUUGACGAAUCGAUCAUCGAAAUUACGCACGAUCGUAAUUACAACGAGGAUUUCAAUCGGUACGAAAUCCGGGUCACAAAAGAUCCGACAACAAUUUAAAUACUCGUAGUUCACAACGUCCUUCAUCGACCUUACUACCCACCACUUUAGUUGGCUCUGCCCGUACGUGCUGUCACUUUCACAUAUGGUUGCACCCACACUAUUGGCUGCCUCGUGUUCACGUGCGUCAGCUAUCCGGUCGGGGGACGACCUGUUUUCUCUCUUUAUAUGCCGACGAUUCUUCGCGAUCCUGACCAUUUUAUAAAUGUAUCGAAUUAUUCAUCUUCCGAUGUCGCACGAUGGAAAUUUUAGGAGAAUGAUCUCGAUUCAUCUUCCACAAAGAAAAUAAACGAUAUUUACAAUUUACAAAUAGUGACAUCAAGUGUAUAAAUUUUUCUCUCAACUCUAACAUUCUCAAUUACAAAAUACUCGUUACAAUGCAAAUAAAUUCGUAAAUUUGGCAAUGGUUAAAUAAAUAGUUACCUUACGUUUUCCAACAAACUGUGAACGACGUGAAUCCGUAAAUAAAGAAAACGAUGAAUAAUA